GAUGAACGCUGGCGGCGUGCUUAACACAUGCAAGUCGAACGGAAAGGCGCUGCUUUUGUGGGGUGCUCGAGUGGCGAACGGGUGAGUAACACGUGAGUAACCCGCCCUUGACAUUGGGAUAACUUCAGGAAACUCGGGCUAAUACCGGAUAUGAGCUCCUGCUGCAUGUGGGGGGUUGGAAAGUUUCGGCGGUUGGGGCUGGACUCGCGGCUUAUCCGCUAGUUUGUGGGGUAGUUGCGUACCAAGGCUUUGACGGAUAGGCCGCCUGAGAGGGUGGCCGGCGACCAGAGGACUGCGAGACGGCGCAGAAGGCUAUGGGAGGCAGUAGGCGAAAGUAUUGCACAGCGGGGCGGAGCGAGAGGCGAAAAUGCCGGGUGCGGGAAGACGUCUUACGGGUUGUAAACAGCUUUGGCAGGUGACGAGGACUGGGUGACGGUAAUGGGUCAAGAAGCCCCGGCUAACUACGUG
This 468-nucleotide ribosomal RNA is filed under the name uncultured bacterium. RNAcentral describes it as "partial 16S ribosomal RNA". It matches the Rfam family "Bacterial small subunit ribosomal RNA", at positions 28 to 507 of the family's 1533-position model. The record is from RNAcentral.